GAUCAAUGAGAGAUUUCAGAUGUUGAGAAAUUUGAUACCCCAUACUGAUCAAAAACGAGAUACCGCGUCAUUCUUGUUCGAGGUAAUUCAGUACGUACAGUAUUUACAGGAUACAGUACAGAAGUAUGAAGGAUCAUAUCAACCUUGGAGCUCGGAGCCUACAAAACUUAUGCCAUGGAGAAACACUCAGUGGCGCGCGCAGAGUUUUCCUGCAAACCCUCAAGCCUUGAACAAUGGUACUGACGCUGGACCAACAUAUUCAGGAAGGUUUGAUGAGAAUCUCUUAACCGUCACUUCGUCAAUGCAAGCCAAUCAGCGGAAUCCACUUGAAUCUCAUUCUGGGGGUGAUGUUAAAUCUAUGGAUCAAGGAAAGGAACUAGCUAGAACGGCAAUUGCAACAUCGAUGCCUCUUCAGGCUAGUAUGCCAGUCCCUUUUCAGAACGAUAGUGCCUUCUCUGACUCACUACCUACACCUGCUUCUGAUGAAUGCCCUAGAACCACUAAUGCUCUGAAUGAUCAGGAGUUUAUGGUAGAAGGCGGCACAAUUAACUUUUCGAAUACUUACUCUCAAGGGUUACUGAAUUCGUUGACACACGCGCUACAGGCUACUGGCCUUGAUCUUUCACAGGCCAGUAUAUCGGUGCAGAUUAAUCUAGGGAAGCGAGCAAACAAGGAAAGGGCCUUGGGGCCAUCUGUUGCUAAGGAUACAGAAAAUCCUCCACCUGCACCUGGCGAUCAAUUUUUGGAGUUUCGAGAUACAAACAAUGGUGAAGAGUUGAACCAAGCUCAAAAGAGGCUGAAGAAAUAGAUACAACUAUAUAGCAUGGCAAUACCAAGUCAAAUCAACUCAAGUUGGCAUCACCUUCGCGUUAAUCAGUUUGAGUGUAUAUCCCGCAUUUUUUUAUCAGUACCAAAUGUUGCUCAUAUGUUCAUAGCAAUGCCUUUUGAUGUCUUUCCUUUCUU
This 963-nucleotide unclassified non-coding RNA is filed under the name Hevea brasiliensis (rubber tree). The record is from RNAcentral. Lineage: Eukaryota; Viridiplantae; Streptophyta; Magnoliopsida; Malpighiales; Euphorbiaceae.